This is a transfer RNA of Felis catus (domestic cat), 85 nucleotides long. It matches the Rfam family "tRNA". From Rfam's summary of the family: Transfer RNA (tRNA) molecules are approximately 80 nucleotides in length. Their secondary structure includes four short double-helical elements and three loops (D, anti-codon, and T loops). The record is from Rfam. NCBI's taxonomy places the organism in Eukaryota, Metazoa, Chordata, Mammalia, Carnivora, Felidae.
GCCUGGGUGGCUCAGUCGGUUGAGUUUCUGACUUCGGCUCAGGUCAUGAUCUCACGGCUUGUGAGUUCAAGCCCCACAUCGGGCU